CUACGGAGGGGGCUAGCGUUGUUCGGAAUUACUGGGCGUAAAGCGCGCGUAGGCGGACCAGUCAGUCAGGGGUGAAAUCCCGGGGCUCAACCCCGGAACUGCCUUUGAUACUGCUGGUCUUGAGUUCGAGAGAGGUGAGUGGAAUUCCGAGUGUAGAGGUGAAAUUCGUAGAUAUUCGGAGGAACACCAGUGGCGAAGGCGGCUCACUGGCUCGAUACUGACGCUGAGGUGCGAAAGCGUGGGUAGCAAACGGGAUUAGAUACCCUAGUAGUCC
RNAcentral lists this ribosomal RNA (274 nucleotides) under uncultured bacterium. RNAcentral's name for it is "partial 16S ribosomal RNA". It matches the Rfam family "Bacterial small subunit ribosomal RNA", at positions 523 to 796 of the family's 1533-position model. The record is from RNAcentral.